This is a long non-coding RNA of Scophthalmus maximus (turbot), 758 nucleotides long. RefSeq lists it as uncharacterized. The record is from RefSeq and is a predicted model, not a curated record. NCBI's taxonomy places the organism in Eukaryota, Metazoa, Chordata, Actinopteri, Pleuronectiformes, Scophthalmidae. The transcript has 4 exons.
CAAAAAAAGAACAGGUGUGUGUUUAGUUGUAUGCGACUGUUAUUUAGACUUCACUGAAGCAUUCAUUCUGCAGUGUCAACCUCAGUCCCAUCUUCUCGUUGACUGAAAGGUGUGUGAUGUUUUAGUGGAGAGACAUGAAAGUGUAGAUGGAUAUGAAAAACAAUUUGGUGACAAAUUUUCUCACCAAGCUGCACCACAGAUGAUACACUUAAGUUCAUUUGGUUGAAGAGGGAAAUGGCCCUGACCAAAGAUUUGCAUGAAGGGAACAGAAAACAGCAACAGCAUAAUAAAGGAGUUCCUGUUAGUGUCGGCAGUUGACAGCAGCGUGUUUCCUUCAUCAUGGCUUUUACAGGCAAAUGUGCUGAGAGCCGCGACAACUACGAAGAACUACUGAAGGAAUUAUAGUCACCAAACCCCCAACAAUUAGGACAUUAUAACAGAUAUCUAUCGGAACGACGAUUUCAGGUUGAUAAAACCUUGAACAACAAAUUCUACAUGGGAUGGAAUCAGAACUGGAAACUCUGGGUGGCGAGACAUUUGAGGUGAUCAUACUUGCUUUGAAGAUUUGAUCAGAAUUGAAGAUUCACUUCCCCAAAUACAUUUACACUGCUGAGGUGGUCCACAAGGUGAGUGCAGUUACCAGCAAGAAGACGAACAAAAUGAAGAUCCAACAAUGUAUCGUUCAAUUUCAAACAUUCCUUCUUUUUUUUCAUCAUCACAAUAUCAUAAACAUUCACUUGACUUUUCUUCCUUUAGCC